RNAcentral lists this small RNA (553 nucleotides) under Pongo abelii (Sumatran orangutan). Its description in RNAcentral is "retained intron". Lineage: Eukaryota; Metazoa; Chordata; Mammalia; Primates; Hominidae. The record is from RNAcentral.
CCGGGGCGCACAGGAGGGCUCAGCCCCGCCGACCCUGACCCGGCCCCUCCCGCAGCACAAGAUCUGCACGCCGCUGACCCUGGAGAUGUACUACACGGAGAUGGACCCCGAGCGCCACCGCAGCAUCCUGGCGGCCAUCGGGGCCUACCCGCUGAGCCGCAAGCACGGCACGGAGACGCCGGCGGUCUGGGGGGACGGCUACCGCGCAGCCAAGGAAGAACGCAAGGGGCCCACCCAGGCUGGGGCGGCGACGGCCACCGAACCCCCCGGGAAGCCGUCGGCCAAGGCGGAGAAGGAGGCGGCGCGGAAGGCGGCCGGGAGCGCGGCGCCCCCGCUCGCGCAGUGACGGUCUCCGGCCCCGCAGCCCGGCCCGGGGUAGGUGCGCACCGCGGGGCUCCGGCCGACUCUGCCCAGCGUCCCCCGCCAGCUCCUGUGACCAGCGCGUCGCCCGAUGCUCUCCGCCUUGUUCGUGUCCCCAGGCGCCCUCGCUGCAGCCCCGCCCGCGUGGGUCUCUGACUCUGUCGCUUUUCUCUAAGUAAAGAUUUCACGUCCA